GGCUACGAGAGUUGUAUGGUGAAAACCAAUGGUUUAAUGCAAUUAAACACCAUGGUGGUCCCUGCAUGCAAACCAUCACAUCCUUGUUGAACAACAAUUUCUGAAUUAACACGGCAAGGUGGAACUCGACACCUUGAUGCUUAUCUUGUUAACGCUUUGUUAGCUGGAGGAGGUCCUCUUCCCCAAGUUAUAAGAGCUUUUGGGAUGUCAAGUUUCAGGUGCAAAUUUCAGGAUAACAAACAUUAUCUAGAAUUUUUCGGCUUGCUUUCGGAUGCUUUUUCUGGAAAAGAGAGUAUUAAAAAAAAAAAAGGUCUAAAGAUGGAUAAGGAAAAAAUAAGAACAAUGACAAAAGCAGAGAAAAGAAAAGAAAGACCAAUUAGUAGUUGAUCCAAUCCUAACCUACCCUAGAAAGAAAAAACAAUCAAUAGAAGAAAACUAGGUAGAAAAAGCUAAAACCAGGGAUUCAAGAGCUGCCAAAACAUAUAAAGAAGGAUCCAAGAAAAUGACAUACCUCCAAACCAAUCUAGCCACUCCAAUAUUAUUAAAAAAUGGCUAGUAAUUUUUAGUCUUUUCCAGUAGAAGUGCCUUAAUCCAUAACUUUGCUGUCCCUUGUUCAGCAGAAUCGACGCAUUUGAUUGGGAAAAAGUGGCAGAUUGAUCCUGUUCUAGCAGAAAUUACCACUCUCACAUGUUUGGUUCGGAGAAAGCGGUCGCUGAACUGUGGGGCUUCAGCCAUGCCUGACUUCAGUUGGAGUGAGCUGAAGUUGGGACAGGGAGGUGCAUGCUCCCACUUUUCAUUCUAAUUAAUCAGAACUUUAUUACUGAAUAAUAACCAAAAAGAGCAAUUUGACUGACAGCUCUC
This 861-nucleotide long non-coding RNA is filed under the name Phoenix dactylifera (date palm). RNAcentral describes it as "long non-coding RNA (PDAC_LNC017532)". Lineage: Eukaryota; Viridiplantae; Streptophyta; Magnoliopsida; Arecales; Arecaceae. The record is from RNAcentral.